Molecule: ribosomal RNA, 330 nt
Filed under: uncultured eukaryote
Lineage: Eukaryota
Description: partial 18S ribosomal RNA
Rfam family: Eukaryotic small subunit ribosomal RNA
Source: RNAcentral
CCCUUAGAUGUUCUGGGCCGCACGCGCGCUACACUGAUGAAUUCAACGAGCUCCUAACCUAGGCCGAAGGGUCCGGGUAAUCUUUGAAAUUUCAUCGUGAUGGGGAUAGAUUAUUGCAAUUAUUAAUCAUCAACGAGGAAUUCCUAGUAAGCGCGAGUCAUCAGCUCGCGUUGAUUACGUCCCUGCCCUUUGUACACACCGCCCGUCGCUCCUACCGAUUGAAUGGUCCGGUGAAAUGUUCGGACCGCGAAAAGGCGGACGGUUCGCUGUCAGCUUUGCUGCGGGAAGUUCAUUAAACCUUAUCAUUUAGAGGAAGGAGAANUCGUAACA